RNAcentral lists this ribosomal RNA (597 nucleotides) under Cellulomonas sp. m6-35. RNAcentral describes it as "bacterial SSU rRNA". It matches the Rfam family "Bacterial small subunit ribosomal RNA", at positions 842 to 1440 of the family's 1533-position model. The record is from RNAcentral. Lineage: Bacteria; Bacillati; Actinomycetota; Actinomycetes; Micrococcales; Cellulomonadaceae.
CGUGCCGCAGCAAACGCAUUAAGUGCCCCGCCUGGGGAGUACGGCCGCAAGGCUAAAACUCAAAGGAAUUGACGGGGGCCCGCACAAGCGGCGGAGCAUGCGGAUUAAUUCGAUGCAACGCGAAGAACCUUACCAAGGCUUGACAUACACCGGAAACGGCCAGAGAUGGUCGCCCCGCAAGGUCGGUGUACAGGUGGUGCAUGGUUGUCGUCAGCUCGUGUCGUGAGAUGUUGGGUUAAGUCCCGCAACGAGCGCAACCCUCGUCCCAUGUUGCCAGCGGGUUAUGCCGGGGACUCAUGGGAGACUGCCGGGGUCAACUCGGAGGAAGGUGGGGAUGACGUCAAAUCAUCAUGCCCCUUAUGUCUUGGGCUUCACGCAUGCUACAAUGGCCGGUACAAAGGGCUGCGAUACCGCGAGGUGGAGCGAAUCCCAAAAAGCCGGUCUCAGUUCGGAUUGGGGUCUGCAACUCGACCCCAUGAAGUCGGAGUCGCUAGUAAUCGCAGAUCAGCAACGCUGCGGUGAAUACGUUCCCGGGCCUUGUACACACCGCCCGUCAAGUCACGAAAGUCGGUAACACCCGAAGCCGGUGGCCCAACC